This 2952-nucleotide long non-coding RNA is filed under the name Salvia miltiorrhiza (redroot sage). RNAcentral's name for it is "long non-coding RNA (SMIL_LNC011500)". Lineage: Eukaryota; Viridiplantae; Streptophyta; Magnoliopsida; Lamiales; Lamiaceae. The record is from RNAcentral.
UUGAAUCCAAAAGUACCACAAAUCAAAACCAUGUGCAGUUCUUUGAAAAAAAAAUAGUGAUUAGCUCGAAAAAGAAAAAUAGCACAUAAAGAUGAAGUUUCUGUUUCUUUNUUCAACAACAUAUCGAGGCCAGCUAAUAGCAGAUAAGUAUAUCCUCUUUUCAGAAAACUAAAAACCAAAAAAGAAAAUGUUUCAAAGAAUCAAUAGUUUUCCAGAGCUUCCUUUGCUUUCAACAAUAACAAAAUUGAUGAAGAUUAUUUCAUAUAUUAUGGUACAAUCAAAGCAGUUAUGUUGGAUAAAACUAUAUAAGAAUAAGAGUAUAACCAAAGCUGUAAGAAAAGUACAAACUUGAGGAACUACCAAAACUGUAAAAAAGUGAUAAGCCUAUAUAUCCCUCUCAUAACACAUAUCAAAUCAAGAUAUUAACGUCUUAAUUGUUCGCCUCACCCUAUAUAGUAUAAUGGAAUUAAAGCAAGAGAACAAUGUGAGUGAAAUAUUUUGUUACUAAUCUUAUUCACAGUGUAGGGACGAUCCUUUCUAAACUCACUCUCAUUUAUAUGUUGAACCUUGAAGAGAAUAACUUGACCAAUCAAACUAUUUUCAAUAUCAGGGGCACUUACAUCAGAUUUUUCAACCUGGUAAACACACCAUGAUUUAGAAUGUAAGAAUAUAACAAUAGGUAAACAAAGUAGAAAAACAUUAAAAAAUAUAUAUACCUCAUGAUAUUGAGCAAUAACUUCAGUUGCUUUGCUGCCCAAUAACUUUAAACUCUUUCUAUCCUACAAAUAUAUACCUACAUAGUAUAUCACAAUCCAUACAUAAAUACUAUAAAUAAAUAAAUAAAACAUUUUAACUCAAAAAAAUGCAAGAGGAUGUUCUUUGUGUACUCGAUAUAGCCUUGGAUGCCAUGAUGUAAUCUCCACAUCUAAACAUCUCGACUAUGGUCCUCUCCAACCAUGCUAGCACCUAUGCCAUGGUGCCUUGGUGGAAGAGCUCACAUCUAACUCAUUUUAGUUAGAAUCAACACGUCAAUAUUAAGAUUGAUGAUCAACUUAUGGCAGAGAAAAGUAUCACAAUUUCUAUCACGGUUAGUAUAGGUAACUCUUUCAAAAUGCAAUAUACCUUUCCAUUAAAUCUUGAGUAAGAUAGAUGGGAGUCAGGUUAAUGUCAUUUGUUGGACUAAAAAAAAUUGCACAACACGUAUAUCAUCAAAACUAAGAACAACAUCAGCGUGUUCAUGUGUUAAAUCUACAGAAAUUAUAAAAUUGGUCAAGUCGAACAAUUAGUUCUCGAUUAUAUAUAUUAGUCAAUAAACCUAAGACAACAUCCUGGCUAUUGGACUAUUUCCCAGAUCAGGUAGUGAGCCUACCUAAGUAUGUAAAAAACAGAAGUUCGGCUCAAACUACCAAAAUCCUUUCGAAAUUAUACCAAGUGACAAACAACUGAAAAUCAUUAUAGAUAUCCAUCAUUUUACAAACAUUCAGAGGAUGCAGUCUCCAUAAAAUCUAAACUUAUUGUUCAAGAUAAAUAAACUUUUACCACUUUUUUUUCAUUCCAUUUCUAUUUUGUUCCUAUAUGGGAAAUAAGAAAAUAGUAAGUAUCAUAAAUCAAAUUCGAGAAGAAAUGUAAAUGAUGACAAAAUAUAUGUAAAACAGUUCAUAUUUUAACCACAUUCCAAUAAUAUCAUAACAUAUACUCAUCUAUUCUAAAAUACAUGCAUUAUUCCAAAAAAUUAUUCUAGACAUGUUUCUCAAUGUUAGUAUCCAAAAUAUAAUCCACAUGAAUUGAUAAUGAAACCAUACAUUACAGAACUUGUAGAGGCUUAAAUAGAGGAGUUUUAAUAACAAAGCAACAUUCCCAAUUUUGUUUCAAAUAAAGAAGAUCACACCGCUCCUAUCGGCAACACUACUGGCACUCUAUUUGUUUAGAAAAGAAGAAAAGAAAAGGGAAAAUAGAUCCAUGAUUAUACCACCUUCAUCCUUGUUAAUUUCAAUUGUUUGAUGCCAAAGUAUAUAAUGAAGAAUAUUCAAUAAAUGUAAAUAAAAAGAGAUGCGAGGCAAUAAUUACCUCUUUCAAUUUCUUGAAGAUACUCCACGCCUCAAAAUUUCUCCAUCUUUUGUCAUCAACUUUACAAUCCUUAAUGCGAGUUCGAACUUUCCCCUCAUUUUAUUGCUGGAAGCCUGGAAACAACAAACAGAUUGGUCGAUUUUUGGAUUAAAAUUUGGGGUAAUCCCUAUCAACUUUAAGAUAUAAGGGUUAAUUUCAUAUGUGGCCAUCGCGAUUUCCGAAAUUGGAGAGAUGAGAGGUUGUGCUACGGGAAAACAGAGACAGCGAGACUACGAAUCACAAAGUACCUUAUCUAUGACUUGCAAAAAAGACCAAAUUUUGUAAUGUUCGCUCUAUGUGACUGAAUAGGGUGUAUGUUUUCCUUACUUUCGAUUCAGAAUCGAAGAGAAUAGGGAGAGAUGAGAAAGAAUCUAACCGAUAGAUCUCUUCUUCCUCGGCAAUGUGGCAUCUUGAUCAUCCCCAUAUGUGUCUUCCAUAUUGUCGCUCUUAGAUCUGGUCUCAUGCUCUGUAUCUGUGCUUCUUCUUCCAUUAAACAUUUACUGUGCUUCAAUUCGAAACAGUUGCAUCCUAGUUAAUACAUAUAUGGAUGGAGAAUAGUAGGAGAAAUUAAAUUGAUUUUGAGAAAUAAUCGUAUUGUGAUCGAACCGUCUGAGAGAGAUAUCAAAUUGCUAUGGGGAGAGAACCGUGGGUGAGAGAAAACUGUUGUUGACUUGUUGUGAUAGAACGUGUGAGAGAGAAUUUUUGGCGGUAAAAAAUAGCCGUUAAACUCAUUUUAUAUAGAUUAACCGAGGGUGACCCUCGUAUCUGUUUCCCUUGAGUAACAGUAUUUUUAGCUCAGGCCCAACUCUAAAUACGGGCUUCCCUCUUUAUUUUACUUAUCUAUCA